RNAcentral lists this ribosomal RNA (585 nucleotides) under uncultured fungus. RNAcentral's name for it is "eukaryotic LSU rRNA". The stretch from base 223 to 376 matches the Rfam family "5.8S ribosomal RNA". The record is from RNAcentral. Lineage: Eukaryota; Fungi.
UUGGUCAUUUAGAGGAAGUAAAAGUCGUAACAAGGUCUCCGUAGGUGAACCUGCGGAGGGAUCAUUACUGAGUGAGGGCCUCCGGCCCGACCUCCAACCCUUUGUAAUUACAACCUCGUUGCCUCGGGGGUGACCCGGCCGUUCUGCGGUUGAGGGCCCCCGGUGGACCAUGAUCAAACUCUGCGUCUCUGCGUCUGAGUAUCGAAGUAAAUUUGAUUUUAAAACUUUCAACAACGGAUCUCUUGGUUCUGGCAUCGAUGAAGAACGCAGCGAAAUGCGAUAAGUAAUGUGAAUUGCAGAAUUCAGUGAAUCAUCGAAUCUUUGAACGCACAUUGCGCCCAUUAGUAUUCUAGUGGGCAUGCCUGUUCGAGCGUCAUUUCAACCCCUAAGCACAGCUUAUUGUUGGGAACCUACGGCUUCGUAGUUCCUCAAAGACAUUGGCGGAGCGGCAGUGGUCCUCUGAGCGUAGUAAUCUUUUAUCUCGCUUCUGUUAGGUGCUGCCCCCCCGGCCGUAAAACCCCCAAUUUUUUCUGGUUGACCUCGGAUCAGGUAGGAAUACCCGCUGAACUUAAGCAUAUCAAUAAG